Molecule: ribosomal RNA, 457 nt
Filed under: Streptococcus mitis
Lineage: Bacteria; Bacillati; Bacillota; Bacilli; Lactobacillales; Streptococcaceae
Description: bacterial SSU rRNA
Rfam family: Bacterial small subunit ribosomal RNA
Source: RNAcentral
GACGAACGCUGGCGGCGUGCCUAAUACAUGCAAGUAGAACGCUGAAGGAGGAGCUUGCUUCUCUGGAUGAGUUGCGAACGGGUGAGUAACGCGUAGGUAACCUGCCUGGUAGCGGGGGAUAACUAUUGGAAACGAUAGCUAAUACCGCAUAACAGUAGAUGUUGCAUGACAUUUGCUUAAAAGGUGCAAUUGCAUCACUACCAGAUGGACCUGCGUUGUAUUAGCUAGUUGGUGGGGUAACGGCUCACCAAGGCGACGAUACAUAGCCGACCUGAGAGGGUGAUCGGCCACACUGGGACUGAGACACGGCCCAGACUCCUACGGGAGGCAGCAGUAGGGAAUCUUCGGCAAUGGACGGAAGUCUGACCGAGCAACGCCGCGUGAGUGAAGAAGGUUUUCGGAUCGUAAAGCUCUGUUGUAAGAGAAGAACGAGUGUGAGAGUGGAAAGUUCACACUG